CCAAUGAGGUUGAGAUCAGCUGCUUUAUCUGUCCUAGGCGUCACAUUUACUGGGGGGGGAACUUUGGAUUAAUGU
Molecule: long non-coding RNA, 75 nt
Organism: Amblyraja radiata (thorny skate)
Lineage: Eukaryota; Metazoa; Chordata; Chondrichthyes; Rajiformes; Rajidae
Exons: 3
Source: RefSeq, a predicted model, not a curated record